UUUUUUUUUUUGGUAAAUUUGUAAACGAAAUGAUAAGUGGACAUACAGAUUUUACAUAAUCUAAUAUUUCUCAAUUCUCAUAUUUUACCUCUUAUUUUCCAAUUCUCAUAUUUUCGAUCAUUUAAUUAAAUGAAUAUGAUAGACUAUGCAAUCAUUUAAUUUUCGCAUAUUUUCUCGCCUCCACUCGCCUACGCCCAAUCAUCAUCCCAAACUAUGCCUCUCUGUGACUCCACCCGCAACUACCCAUAGUCUUAGCAACCUCGACGUCUUCAUCAACAAUGUUGGUGAGAUGGUGCCAGUCAUGGUGUUUGUAAGGUUUAAUGGUAAGAUUGUGUGCGUUAGAGAAAACAUCGCAUUUCUCUUUCUUCUUUCGAUUUGAAACCCUUCUUUUCCCCACAAUCUCUCAUUCCCUCCCAACUCGUUGAAACCCUUCUUCGUCCCAAAGGAACCUCACCCUUAAUCUAUUACUUCUUCCCAUCUUCUUCUUGACCAAUUCUAGGGCAAGCAAUACUUCCUCAAAUACACACAAGUCGAAUCUAAUUUGGAAAGUAAGACAAUAUUGUCAAGACCCAAAGCCACCAUUCAGAUCAAAUCAAUUAGGGUGAUUGAUGAAGUCACAUAGAAACAUGAAGGAGGCGGCACCAUCCUCAUGAGUGAAACUAAAGAACGAGAGCAAGAGUUUGAGAAAGAGAUAAAACGUUAGAGAGAGAAAAGGGAGACCGACGAGGGAGAGAGAUAAUGUUAGAAGAGCUCUGCUUUGCUGGUUCAAACUCAACUAGGGUGGUUCAACACAAUGGUGGGGGUCCUAGCGUUUCUAGCAUGGGAAUGGUGGAGAAGGAGGCGAGGGGAAGGUGGCGAGGGAGAUGGUCCAAAAUGCCCCUUGAUACACCAGGGAACCAAAUUUUUAAAUGUCAACCCUAUUCUUAACCAUAUACCUUAAUAUUUGAUACUGUAAGAUUGCGACACGUCUAUUAAAGAAUAUUAUUUAAAAAUGUCAUGCUAAGGCUGUAAUUUGGAAAAUAUAACUAAUACUCUCCUGAAAUUGUAAAAGUGAUAAAUAUUAGGGAUAAACUAUCAAAAUAGUAAUAACAGGAGGUAAUACUUCAUACUAGAACAAAAUUGGAAAAAUCAUACAAAAUACAAGUACACCUAAUAAUUUUCGAGAAACGAGAACUCCGGCGAUGAGUCAAAUAUCAAAUAUAUGUUCCACGCCUGUCGAAUUCCAUGAUCAGUUUUAAGUUUUUCACUAAGUAUGAAGUGGCAUAUAAAUUACACUAGCAAAAUUACAACACAUAAGAUACACAUCAAACAAAAUUGAUAUGAAUUAUCAUAAAUCCAUCAAAAGUAAAAAAAAAGUACUUCUAUAUAAAAUUUACAGUCAAUAAAAUCCCGGGUGAUCUUUUCCAAUGUGAAACUCUAACACUACGAAAAAUACAAACAAUUAACUUGGGCCGUGGGGUCCUACUAUGUAUUUUAAGAGACUGAAAUUUGAAAUUUGCAAAUUCUGGGAUAAAACCACUCAGCAUCCAUUCUAUUGUACCGGGAAAGAACAAUUCAUAGCGCAGCACAGUGUGUAUCUCAAUUUUUUUUACUUACUAGCAUGUAACUUACUUUGGCUUCUUCCGCAUUCCCAUCCGCGAUUUAGCAAAUCUAAAAUUAUCAUUAAGUAUACAAAACAAAUGUUGGUGAUGAGAAAAAAAAAUCAAUGAAAGAAAACAAACAGGUAACCAAAGGAUACUCUAAACGCAUUCCCUCGCCAGCUGGAGAGGAGUGAAGAAUGGUGCCUUGCAGAUUGUUUAGAGCAUCAGCGGAGCUACCAACGUCCUGCACAUAAAGUUAGCAAUCAAUCUGGGAGCUUUACAAGAUGCACUUGUCGUGAUAGUUCACAAAAACCUCCUAAUAAAAUCAUGCAAAUCAAAUAUGGGAAUAACUAUAAUAUUUAGGUAAUAGUUUUAUGCAAUUUUCAACAUGGCUUUCAAUGCUUUCACAAGAAGAAGCAUGCUGACUGCUGAGUGAUAACACUCCCAAGGGUAAAACUUAGGUGCUAUUCUUUAGGUACUUUUCAUGUUGUUGACUUGUUGCCUAAUUAAAAACUCAACUACCCACUUUCUUAAUUCAUUAACAUAAUUUUUCAUUUUUUUAUUCAUGUCUCAUCAUAUGCAGUGCAAAAAAAAAGGACAACAAUAAAGAAACCUGGAAAUCAACAAAUGCAACUGGAGCCCCAUAUGUGCUCUGCAUCUUCAGUUUCAAAAAUCCAGGAUAUCUGAUAGAAGAUACAUACACCAAAAUAAAAUCAACUUCAGCAUCUACGGACUGUAUAGAUACGAAAAUAAUUCGAACAAUACAUAUACACUGACCUAGAAAACACUUGUAUUAGCUCUUGUUCAUUACAAGACGGCCCCAGAUUAGCUACAAAUAAAGUUGCACAGGGGAUUGUAUUUUGAGGAAUGUAAGGUAUUGAACACUUUUUCUGUCAACACAAGAUAUGAAAUAAAAACAAUUACUUGAAGUGGAAAAUGCAAUAAUUUUAAAUUAACUAUAGUCCUAGAUGCAAGAGAAACAAGGAAAAACAACACGGUUAGAUACAACAAUUUAAUAAAGCAUAAUAAUGUUGACCAGCCUAAUCCAUGUAAAGCAUAUAACUGAGAAACAUUGUACAGUUUAACCACAAAUUUUAAUAGUCUGGAAAAAAAAGAUUAUGAGAAAAGCAUUUUGAGUUCACCACCGAAAGAUUUAACCAUUUAGAACAGCUAAUAGAGGUAAAUAUCUUAAGGUGAUGCAAAAAACAGAUAGAUUGAGUGCUACAUAACACUAACCAGAUUUCCAUAUAGACCAUCAUUGACAGCAUUUCCAUCAGCACUCCCAUAACUUUUGCAGAAAACAAACAAACAGACAAUUAGAUGAGAUAGCAUGAUAUACAAAGGCAAUAGCCCAAAAGAAUUUCUCUUGUACUAUAAACACAUUAGUUAUUUUCUUCUAAUAAUAUAGAAUGAGUUCCCCAACAGCAGCUCAAAAUAAUUAACUUGUAAUAUUGAAAAAUGUGCUCUAUUUGAGUUAGAAGCAAUGACUUCCAUAUAAUAAAGGUGUGAUUAAGUAGUGCAGAUGACCUUUGUGCAGAUGGAUAACCAAUCGUGUUCAUGUUGAUAGAAGGAUUACCCAUUCCAGGCAUGUGAAUGCUGCUAACACCUGCUAGUGCCGAAGAGUGCAAAACAUGUGCAAUGUGAGAUAAAAGUGUCCUUUUGUGUGAUCAACAUUUAACUAGUCUUUAAGCAAGAGAUCAUCAACAUCAACCGCAUAUACAUAGAACAACAUCCUACACACUAAAACAAUCUAGCACCAUCUUACUUACCGGAAUCAGGAGUCGCCCAUGACGGUGCAGACCCUCUAGCUUUCUUAUCCGAGCCACCUCUCUCAUCAUCUGCUCACCAAUGUCAAUCAACCAUCACAAUUCAAUUCAAACCUCUUAAAAUGUAAAUGGGAUUAGGAAAAUAAGGUAAUCAAGACACACACACACCUAUCCGCGUUCGCUUAGAUCUAGAGUUGGAUUUGGCAAGAUCAAUAUAAAGAGUUGAAUUCUUUUCAAGAUCAAACACCAUCCCCUGCAAACCACAGCAAUCAAAAUAUUCAAUUCAGACACUGAAAACUGCUACUGAGCAUGAAAUGUAUGUAACACAAAAGAGCCUUACAUUCAGAGCAUGCAUUGCCAUUACUGCAGAUUGCUGAUUCAUGAACACAGCAAAAGCAAAAGGCUAUCGGAACAAAAAAUCACGUCACAGAAAGCAUAUCAGUAAUCAAUCAAUGCAAACACAAUUACAAGAUAAUCAAAACAGUUGAAAACGCUUUGCAGUUUGCAGAAUCGAUUAUUAUUGUACCUGUGAUGAAUUGGUGGGGCUACGAAGAUGCGAUGAUUCGUAACCAGGAAAUUCGCGGAAGAGGUUGUAGAUUUCGCGGGGUUUUACAUCUUCAGGGAGUCCAGCAACGAAGAGGGUACGGACCUCGUGUGUGGGGGAUUGAGGAAGAGCGAAGGAAUUGUAGAGAGGUUGUUGCUGGUGGUGAGGAACAUACUGCGGAUGCGGGAAAACGGUGCCGGGAGGAGGUGGCACCACCGUCAUGAUAGGCGGCGGCGGAGGUGGCUGAUAAUAUGAAUAAUUGAGAAGGGCGGGUGGUUGGGUUUGAGCGUAGUAGGCAGCCAUGUCGUCCAUCGGAGCACUAUUGCAGUGGUUCGGAAGCCCUAGAGUAUUUCAUUUCUCUCUCAACAACUCCUCUGUUUUUUUUGUUGAAUUGUUGUGCUUUUCAUUUUCUUGACAAUAUUGGGCUGGCCCAUUAGGGAGCUGGUCUUCCUUAUCUGGGCCUGGCCCACUGGGAGUUUUGCAGUGAAAUUAAUUUAACCUACUAAGUCUAGACUAUAGAUUGACCAAAAAAAAAUUCUAGACUAUUGCAAAGGAAAAAGAAAACUGAAUGAAGAGAAAAAUUGGAAGCAAGCAAUUUAUUUUUAUCUUUCUCUUUCAUGAACUUUACAAUUUAUAGUUAGGGUUCAACCCUUGGGGUGUGUAUGUGAGUUCAAUUUUGAGGAGAAGGAAAGGGAAGAUGGAUGCUUGUGAGUAGAGGCAGGCGGAGGAACAUGAGUGGGGCCCAUCGAUGUCACAAUCCUUUCUAUCUUUUAGAUUUUUAUCUUAAUAUUAUGUAUGUAUAUUUUUCUUAUGACCUUUGUAGUCAGCUUAAUAAAAUAGAAUCAAUACUAUGUAUUUUUUUUAUGGCCCACUUCCAAACACGUACACAAGGUUGCUCAAAUAAAUUUAUAAAUUUUUGUAAUUAGAACGUUAUUAUCGUCGCAUUGAUUCUUUUUUACAGUACUCGUUAUGGUAUGUUGGAGUGUUUUUACAUGUGCCCAUAUACCAAUACGUCUAUAAAAAAAAAAGGCAAACUUAAAAAUGUUGGUUGUGUUUUAAACCCUCCGGCGUCCCUGUUGUUUUCGCCCGCCGUCGUUCAUAAACGUGCCAGCGCUGUUUCUAAUCGUAGUUCAUGGGCAUCGUUAUCUGGUUCCCUUCAAGAGUACACUCUGUCGCCGCUGUAGCCCCCAAUUCUUUUUUCGUCCUUCAUCGUUUGCAUAAACCUUUUGAACCUUCCCCCGCCACAAGCCUUUUUUAUCUGAUAAGAAGCACUUCCGCAGCAAACCCCUUUUGGGGUUUUAAAAUUAUUCAGAUCUCUAUGAAAUUUCUACUUUGAGAUACAUGAAUUGAUAUUCUGGGUUUAAAUUGAUAUUUUCAUUCUUGGUUUCCAUUCAAUUGGUUGUUCAACAAUUCAGUCUGGCCAAUGUUUUCUGAUAACAAUUCACACGAAACAUGUUAGGCACAUGUGGGAAUUUAUGAUCACCUCUGCUAUACAGUUUCACUCAUGGAGGAUGGGAGAGGAAGAGAACGACAUCACAGACGAAGAUGAACACAGAGGAGAGGAGGAAGGAUUAGAUUAAUAUUUGCCCCAAAUCAACUUGAAAUGUUUAAAAUCAACUAAGGUUAAAAUCAAUUUGAAAAUCAGAAAGUAAACAUUUUCUAAAAAAAAUGUAUUUUAAACACAUAGUAAAACUUAUAAUAGAGAUAUUUAGAGGAUCAAUUUAACAACUUUAUAAGUUAAAAUGACAUGACACAUUUCCACACUUGGCAUUCACUGAUUGGGUAUAAGAGAAACAACAUUAUAACCCCCUCUCACCAACUAACAUGUAAAAGUUUGCCUUUUUUAUAAGCCAAAUAUCGUAAAAACUCAAGUAUCCCUUACACGUAGAUAUGAGAUUUUAUUAUAUAAUUAUUAUCGAAAUACAACAUAAUCAUAUAAAGUUCAAUCGCUUAGCGAGGAUCGUGACAACUCAUGGGGAGAUUACACCAUCUCUUUAUUCUCUCUUUGCUAGUUAUUGCCAUAACACAAGUACUGACUCAACAAGGGUAAAUACCCUCGUGCAAUUCCAGCUGCUCAGUUUACCCUGCAAUUACAACUUA
Molecule: long non-coding RNA, 5990 nt
Filed under: Lotus japonicus
Lineage: Eukaryota; Viridiplantae; Streptophyta; Magnoliopsida; Fabales; Fabaceae
Description: long non-coding RNA (LJAP_LNC001433)
Source: RNAcentral